UUGAACGCUGGCGGCAGGCCUAACACAUGCAAGUCGCACGGUAACAGGAAGCAGCUUGCUGCUUUGCUGACGAGUGGCGGACGGGUGAGUAAUGUCUGGGAAACUGCCCGAUGGAGGGGGAUAACUACUGGAAACGGUAGCUAAUACCGCAUAACGUCGCAAGACCAAAGAGGGGGACCUUAGGGCCUCUUGCCAUCGGAUGUGCCCAGAUGGGAUUAGCUAGUAGGUGGGGUAACGGCUCACCUAGGCGACGAUCCCUAGCUGGUCUGAGAGGAUGACCAGCCACACUGGAACUGAGACACGGGCCAGACUCCUACGGGAGGCAGCAGUGGGGAAUAUUGCACAAUGGGCGCAAGCCUGAUGCAGCCAUGCCGCGUGUAUGAAGAAGGCCUUCGGGUUGUAAAGUACUUUCAGCGGGGAGGAAGGGAGUAAAGUUAAUACCUUUGCUCAUUGACGUUACCCGCAGAAGAAGCACCGGCUAACUCCGUG
Molecule: ribosomal RNA, 489 nt
Filed under: uncultured bacterium
Lineage: Bacteria
Description: partial 16S ribosomal RNA
Rfam family: Bacterial small subunit ribosomal RNA
Source: RNAcentral